This 450-nucleotide ribosomal RNA is filed under the name uncultured bacterium. RNAcentral describes it as "bacterial SSU rRNA". It matches the Rfam family "Bacterial small subunit ribosomal RNA", at positions 328 to 793 of the family's 1533-position model. The record is from RNAcentral.
GGGCCAGACUCCUACGGGAGGCAGCAGUGGGGAAUAUUGGGCAAUGGGCGCAAGCCUGACCCAGCAACGCCGCGUGAAGGAAGAAGGCUUUCGGGUUGUAAACUUCUUUUAUCAGGGACGAAGCAAGUGACGGUACCUGAUGAAUAAGCCACGGCUAACUACGUGCCAGCAGCCGCGGUAAUACGUAGGUGGCAAGCGUUAUCCGGAUUUACUGGGUGUAAAGGGCGUGUAGCCGGGCCGGCAAGUCAGAUGUGAAAUCCCAAGGCUCAACCUUGGGACUGCAUUUGAAACUGUUGGUCUUGAGUAUCGGAGAGGCAGGCGGAAUUCCUAGUGUAGCGGUGAAAUGCGUAGAUAUUAGGAGGAACACCAGUGGCGAAGGCAGAUUGCUGGACAGUAACUGACGCUGAGGCGCGAAAGCGUGGGAGCAAACAGGAUUAGAUACCCUCGUAU